AGCCUCCUGGUUCUUACCACAGGCUGUGUUUUUACAUCGACUGUGUAGAAAGAGGAGGCAGAGCAAACCUGCCCAUGUGCACCCCAGCCCAGGCCACUGUGCCUGGUCUGUAUUGUGAAUGGGGAGACAUGG
Molecule: small nucleolar RNA, 132 nt
Organism: Nannospalax galili (Upper Galilee mountains blind mole rat)
Lineage: Eukaryota; Metazoa; Chordata; Mammalia; Rodentia; Spalacidae
Source: Ensembl